GGUAAAAAACGGCCAAUUUGACGAUACCUUCCCGUGGAAGAAAGUGAAGUGCCCACGUCAGCCCAACAAGAGCUCCCAUUGUGGAUAUUGCGUGAUGAAAUUUAUGAAGGAGAUAAUUCUGCACAAUGCUGACUCAAUUCCCACGCAGUACUUUGCCGACACAUAUUGCACAGUAUAUUCAUCUGCUCAGAUA
Neltuma alba is the source of this 193-nucleotide long non-coding RNA. RefSeq lists it as uncharacterized. The record is from RefSeq and is a predicted model, not a curated record. The transcript has 3 exons. NCBI's taxonomy places the organism in Eukaryota, Viridiplantae, Streptophyta, Magnoliopsida, Fabales, Fabaceae.